UCAAGCAAAUAAGGGCACAGGGUGGAUGCCAAGGCGCCAAGAGCCGACGAAGGACGUGGCAAGCUGCGAAAAGUUACGGGGAGCCGCAAGCAGGCAUUGAGCCGUAAAUAUCCGAAUGGGGAAACCCAGCGGGGGUAACGCCCCGUUACCAUGGGAUGAAUACAUAGUCCCAUAGGAGGGCACCCGGGGAAGUGAAACAUCUGAGUACCCGGAGGAAAAGAAAGUAAAAACGAUUCUCUUAGUAGCGGCGAGCGAAAAGGGAAGAGCCUAAACCGAUUCUCUACGGAGAGUCGGGGUUGAGGGUCAGCGACAUGGAUUUCCAAAGUCGAGCUGAACACGCCUGGGAAGGCGGGCCAGAGCGGGUGAUAGCCCCGUAAGCGAAGACAGAGGGACCUAGCUGAUACCAGAGUACCGCAGGACACGUGAAAUCCGGCGGGAAGCAGGGGGGACCACCCUCCAAGGCUAAAUACAUCUUGGCGACCGAUAGCGAAUAGUACCGUGAGGGAAAGGUGAAAAGAACCCCGGGAGGGGAGUGAAAUAGAACCUGAAACCCUGUGUUUACAAGCAGAGAGAGCGCGAGUUAUGCGCGAUCUCGUACUUUUUGUAGAACGGACCUGCGAGUUGCGUUUUCAAGCGAGGUUAAGUUCUUCUGGAACGAAGCCGAAGGGAAACCGAGUCUGAAGAGGGCGUAUAGUUUGAGGACGCAGACCCGAAACCGGGUGACCUAUCCAUGGGCAGGCUGAAGAGGUGGUAAAGCAUCUUGGAGGGCCGAACCAGACGUCUGUUAAAAAAGGCGGGGAUGACCUGUGGAUAGGGGAGAAAUUCCAAUCGAACUCGGAUAUAGCUGGUUCUCCUCGAAAUAGCUUUAGGGCUAGCCUCGCGUAUGCGCGAUGGAGGUAGAGCACUGAAUGGGCUAGGGGGCCACAAAGCUUACCGAACCCUAUCAAACUGCGAAUGCCAUCGAGUUAAAGCGCGGGAGUCAGUCCGUGGGAGAUAAGUUUCACGGGCAAAAGGGGAACACCCCAGAUCAGCCGCUAAGGCCCCUAAGUGCAAGUUAAGUGGGAAAGGAUGUUCAGUUGCGCAGACAACCAGGAUGUUGGCUUAGAAGCAGCCACACAUUCAAAGAGUGCGUAAUAGCUCACUGGUCGAGUGACUGAGCGCCGAAGAUGUCCGGGGCUAAAACUUGCCGCCGAAGCGCUGGGAUUUGACUGUAAAGUUGAAUCGGUAGAGGAGCAAUGUCACAGGGACGAAGCCGUAGCGUAAGCCGCGGUGGACAUGUGACAAGAGAGAAUGCAGGUAUGAGUAGCGAGAGCCGUGCGAGAAACACGGCGGUCGAAAGCCCAAGGUUUCCUGGGGAAGGUUCAUCCGCCCAGGGUAAGUCGGGACCUAAGGCGAGGACAGUAGUCGUAGCCGAUGGACAGCUGGUCUAAAAUUCCAGCACCGCCAAGGAAUGACGCAGUGACACAGGAGGAUAGCCCGAGCGGGGUGAUGGUCAACCCCGUGCAAGCAGUGAGGUUUUGCGGCAGUUAAGUACACCGCAUAUAAGAUUGAGCUGUGACGCGGAGCGAAAAUAAGUAGCGAAGCGGGUGAAUUCACACUGGCGAGAAAAGCUGCUAGUAUAUCCUAAUGGCGCCCGUACCGCAAUCCGACGCAGGUGGGCGAGGAGAGAAUCCUAAGACGAACGGGAGAACCCUUGUUAAGGAACUCGGCAAAAUGGCCCCGUAACUUCGGGAGAAGGGGCGCCUUGAUAGAGAUAUUGAGGCCGCAGAGAAUAGGCCCAAGCGACUGUUUAGCAAAAACACAGGUAUCUGCGAAAGCGAGAGCUGACGUAUAGGUGCUGACGCCUGCCCGGUGCUGGAAGGUUAAGGGGAGUGGUUAGGGGUAACCCAAAGCUGUAAACCGAAGCCCCAGUAAACGGCGGCCGUAACUAUAACGGUCCUAAGGUAGCGAAAUUCCUUGUCGGGUAAGUUCCGACCCGCACGAAUGGCGUAACGACUUGGGCGCUGUCUCAACAGGGGACCCGGUGAAAUUGAAGUAUGUGUGAAGAUGCACAUUACCCGCGACUGGACGGAAAGACCCCGUAGAGCUUUACUGUAACCUGACAUUGGAUUCUAGCAACGGAUGUACAGGAUAGGUGGGAGACGAAGAAGCGAGGGCGUCAGCCUUCGUGGAGUCAACGUUGGGAUACCACUCUUCUGUUGCCGGAAUUCUAACAUGACGCCGUAAGCCGGCGAAUGGACAGUAUCAGGCGGGCAGUUUGACUGGGGCGGUCGCCUCCGAAAGAGUAACGGAGGCGCCCAAAGGUUCCCUCAGAAUGGAUGGAAACCAUUCGCAGAGUGUAAAGGCACAAGGGAGCUUGACUGCGAGAGCGACAACUCGAGCAGGGACGAAAGUCGGGCUUAGUGAUCCGGCGGCAUAGCGUGGAAUAGCCGUCGCUCAACGGAUAAAAGCUACCUCGGGGAUAACAGGCUGAUCUCCCCCAAGAGUCCACAUCGACGGGGAGGUUUGGCACCUCGAUGUCGGCUCGUCGCAUCCUGGGGCUGAAGUCGGUCCCAAGGGUUUGGCUGUUCGCCAAUUAAAGCGGCACGCGAGCUGGGUUCAGAACGUCGUGAGACAGUUCGGUCCCUAUCCAUCGUGGGCGUUGGAACCAUGAGAGGAGCUGUUCCUAGUACGAGAGGACCGGAAUGGACGUACCUCUGGUGCAACUGUUGUCGUGCCAACGGCAUAGCAGGGAAGCGAAGUACGGACGGGAUAAACGCUGAAGGCAUCUAAGCGUGAAGCCCACCUCAAGAUUAUGGUUCCCUUCGCGAGAGCGAGAAAGACCCCUGGCGGACUACCAGGUUGAUCGGUCAUCGGUGCAAGUGUGGUAACGCGCUUAGCUUGAUGAUACGAAUAGGUCGAGGGCUUGAUCU
RNAcentral lists this ribosomal RNA (2912 nucleotides) under Clostridia bacterium. Its description in RNAcentral is "23S ribosomal RNA". It matches the Rfam family "Bacterial large subunit ribosomal RNA". Lineage: Bacteria; Bacillati; Bacillota; Clostridia. The record is from RNAcentral.